AACGAACGCUGGCGGCAUGCCUAACACAUGCAAGUCGAACGAAGCCUUCGGCUUAGUGGCGCACGGGUGCGUAACGCGUGGGAAUCUGCCCUUGGGUUCGGAAUAACAGUUAGAAAUGACUGCUAAUACCGGAUGAUGUCUUCGGACCAAAGAUUUAUCGCCCAAGGAUGAGCCCGCGUAGGAUUAGGUAGUUGGUGGGGUAAUGGCCCACCAAGCCGACGAUCCUUAGCUGGUCUGAGAGGAUGAUCAGCCACACUGGGACUGAGACACGGCCCAGACUCCUACGGGAGGCAGCAGUGGGGAAUAUUGGACAAUGGGCGAAAGCCUGAUCCAGCAAUGCCGCGUGAGUGAUGAAGGCCUUAGGGUUGUAAAGCUCUUUUACCAGGGAUGAUAAUGACAGUACCUGGAGAAUAAGCUCCGGCUAACUCCGUGCCAGCCGCCGCUGUAA
RNAcentral lists this ribosomal RNA (448 nucleotides) under uncultured bacterium. Its description in RNAcentral is "partial 16S ribosomal RNA". It matches the Rfam family "Bacterial small subunit ribosomal RNA", at positions 29 to 523 of the family's 1533-position model. The record is from RNAcentral.